AGUGAACGCUGGCGGUAGACCUAACACAUGCAAGUCGAACGGCAGCACAGUAAGAGCUUGCUCUUACGGGUGGCGAGUGGCGGACGGGUGAGGAAUACAUCGGAAUCUACUUUUUCGUGGGGGAUAACGUAGGGAAACUUACGCUAAUACCGCAUACGACCUACGGGUGAAAGCAGGGGAUCUUCGGACCUUGCGCGAUUGAAUGAGCCGAUGUCGGAUUAGCUAGUUGGCGGGGUAAAGGCCCACCAAGGCGACGAUCCGUAGCUGGUCUGAGAGGAUGAUCAGCCACACUGGAACUGAGACACGGUCCAGACUCCUACGGGAGGCAGCAGUGGGGAAUAUUGGACAAUGGGCGCAAGCCUGAUCCAGCCAUACCGCGUGGGUGAAGAAGGCCUUCGGGUUGUAAAGCCCUUUUGUUGGGAAAGAAGAGCAGCAGGUUAAUACCCCGCUGUUCUGACGGUACCCAAAGAAUAAGCACCGGCUAACUUCGUG
This 492-nucleotide ribosomal RNA is filed under the name uncultured bacterium. RNAcentral describes it as "partial 16S ribosomal RNA". It matches the Rfam family "Bacterial small subunit ribosomal RNA", at positions 29 to 507 of the family's 1533-position model. The record is from RNAcentral.